GUGCCAGACUCCUACGGGAGGCAGCAGUGGGGAAUAUUGGGCAAUGGGCGCAAGCCUGACCCAGCAACGCCGCGUGAAGGAUGAAGGUUUUCGGAUUGUAAACUUCUGUCGCGAGGGACGAAGAAUGACGGUACCUCGUAAGAAAGCCCCGGCUAACUACGUGCCAGCAGCCGCGGUAAUACGUAGGGGGCAAGCGUUAUCCGGAUUUACUGGGUGUAAAGGGAGCGUAGACGGCCAGACAAGUCAGAAGUGAAAGCCCAGGGCUCAACUCUGGGACUGCCCUUGGAACUGCAUGGCUGGAGUGCGGGAGGGGCAGGCGGAAUUCCUGGUGUAGCGGUGAAAUGCGUAGAUAUCAGGAGGAACACCGGCGGCGAAGGCGGCCUGCUGGACCGCGACUGACGUUGAGGCUCGAAAGCGUGGGGAGCGAACAGGAUUAGAUACCCCAGUAAG
RNAcentral lists this ribosomal RNA (450 nucleotides) under uncultured bacterium. RNAcentral describes it as "bacterial SSU rRNA". It matches the Rfam family "Bacterial small subunit ribosomal RNA", at positions 328 to 793 of the family's 1533-position model. The record is from RNAcentral.